RNAcentral lists this small RNA (28 nucleotides) under Bombyx mori (domestic silkworm). RNAcentral's name for it is "ovarian small RNA-6923". Lineage: Eukaryota; Metazoa; Arthropoda; Insecta; Lepidoptera; Bombycidae. The record is from RNAcentral.
UCACUGAAAUUUGUUGGCCUAAGUAAGU